RNAcentral lists this non-coding RNA (152 nucleotides) under uncultured Alistipes sp. The record is from RNAcentral. Lineage: Bacteria; Pseudomonadati; Bacteroidota; Bacteroidia; Bacteroidales; Rikenellaceae.
GUCUCGUGGAUUAAAAGGGAAUCGGGUGAAAGUCCCGAACAGUCCCGCUGCUGUGAAGCUCCGCCAACCGCACGAACAUCUCUACCACUGAUCCUGAGGGAUCGGGAAGGUCUCGCGCGGGGAGUCAGUCAGAAGACCUGCCAUCGAUUUAU